RNAcentral lists this transfer RNA (77 nucleotides) under Heyndrickxia sporothermodurans. RNAcentral's name for it is "tRNA-Pro". It matches the Rfam family "tRNA". From Rfam's summary of the family: Transfer RNA (tRNA) molecules are approximately 80 nucleotides in length. Lineage: Bacteria; Bacillati; Bacillota; Bacilli; Caryophanales; Bacillaceae. The record is from RNAcentral.
CGGGAAGUAGCACAGCUUGGUAGAGCACAUGGUUUGGGACCAUGGGGUCGCAGGUUCGAAUCCUGUCUUCCCGACCA